CCGAAAGGCAGGAGUGCCUGCAAGGGAGCGCGGAGACAGGUGGUGCAUGGCUGUCGUCAGCUCGUGUCGUGAGAUGUUGGGUUAAGUCCCGCAACGAGCGCAACCCUCACCUCUUGUUGCCAUCAGGUCAUGCUGGGCACUCUAGAGGAACUGCCCCGGUCAACGGGGAGGAAGGCGGGGAUGACGUCAAGUCAUCAUGCCCCUUACGUCCUGGGCUACACACGUGCUACAAUGGCCGGUGCAAAGGGAUGCCACACCGCGAGGUAGAGCUAAACCCAAAAAGCCGGUCUAAGUUCGGAUUGGAGUCUGCAACUCGACUCCAUGAAGGAGGAAUCGCUAGUAAUCGCGUAUCAGCACGACGCGGUGAAUACGUUCCCGGGCCUUGUACACACCGCCCGUCACACCACGAAAGCCAG
Molecule: ribosomal RNA, 416 nt
Filed under: uncultured bacterium
Lineage: Bacteria
Description: bacterial SSU rRNA
Rfam family: Bacterial small subunit ribosomal RNA
Source: RNAcentral